This 64-nucleotide transfer RNA is filed under the name Stenotoxodera porioni. RNAcentral describes it as "tRNA-Phe". The record is from RNAcentral. Lineage: Eukaryota; Metazoa; Arthropoda; Insecta; Mantodea; Toxoderidae.
AUUCAAAUAUCUUAUAUAGAGUAUAACAUUGAAGCUGUUAUUGAGAUAGAAUUAUCUUUGAAUA